This 566-nucleotide ribosomal RNA is filed under the name Parmotrema austrosinense. RNAcentral describes it as "eukaryotic LSU rRNA". The stretch from base 197 to 350 matches the Rfam family "5.8S ribosomal RNA". The record is from RNAcentral. Lineage: Eukaryota; Fungi; Ascomycota; Lecanoromycetes; Lecanorales; Parmeliaceae.
UCAUUACCGAGAGAGGGGCUUCGCGCUCCCGGGGGCCUCGGCCCCCACUCUUCACCCUGUGUGUACCUACCUUUGUUGCUUUGGCGGACCCCGGGGGUUCUCCUCCGCGUCGGCCUUCGGGUCGAUGAGCGUCCGUCAGGGGCUCAUUUACAUUCUGUUUAUCAGUUGUCGUCCGAGUAUAAAAUGAAUAAAUAAAAACUUUCAACAACGGAUCUCUUGGUUCCAGCAUCGAUGAAGAACGCAGCGAAAUGCGAUAAGUAAUGUGAAUUGCAGAAUUCAGUGAAUCAUCGAAUCUUUGAACGCACAUUGCGCCCCUCGGUAUUCCGGGGGGCAUGCCUGUUCGAGCGUCAUUACACCUCUCAAGCUUCGCUUGGUAUUGGGUCACUCGCCCCCGAGGCGUGCCCGAAAAGCAGUGGCGGUCCGGCGAGACUUUAAGCGUAGUAAAUUACCAUCCCGCUUUGAAAGUUCGCGGUGUGGCUCGCCAGACAACCGUCACAUAUUGUCUACCCACUAUGUGCCUUCAAUAUUUGACCUCGGAUCAGGUAGGGAUACCCGCGAACUAAGCA